RNAcentral lists this ribosomal RNA (419 nucleotides) under uncultured bacterium. Its description in RNAcentral is "bacterial SSU rRNA". It matches the Rfam family "Bacterial small subunit ribosomal RNA", at positions 357 to 774 of the family's 1533-position model. The record is from RNAcentral.
GGGAAUCUUCCGCAAUGGGCGAAAGCCUGACGGAGCAACGCCGCGUGAGUGAAGAAGGCCUUCGGGCCGUAAAGCUCUGUUGCCGGGGAAGAGUGCUAUGGGGGAACCUGUAGAGGGACGGUACCCGGCGAGGAAGCCGCGGCUAACUACGUGCCAGCAGCCGCGGUAAUACGUAGGCGGCAAGCGUUGUCCGGAAUCAUUGGGCGUAAAGGGGGCGCAGGCGGGAACAUAAGUCUUUCCUGAAAGUUCGGGGCUCAGCCCCGUGAUGGGAAGGAAACUGUGUUUCUUGAGCGCGGGAGAGGGAAGCGGAAUUCCUGGUGUAGCGGUGAAAUGCGUAGAUAUCAGGAAGAACACCAGUGGCGAAGGCGGCCUCCUGGACCGCGGCUGACGCUGAGGCCCGAAAGCCAGGGGAGCGAACG